Molecule: ribosomal RNA, 406 nt
Filed under: uncultured bacterium
Lineage: Bacteria
Description: partial 16S ribosomal RNA
Rfam family: Bacterial small subunit ribosomal RNA
Source: RNAcentral
AUUGAACGCUGGCGGCAGGCCUAACACAUGCAAGUCGAACGAGUGGCGGACGGGUGAGUAAUGUCUGGGAAACUGCCCGAUGGAGGGGGAUAACUACUGGAAACGGUAGCUCAUACCGCAUACCCUCGGAUGUGCCCAGAUGGGAUUAGCUAGUAGGUGGGGUAACGGCUCACCUAGGCGACGAUCCCUAGCUGGUCUGAGCGGAUGACCAGCCAAACUGGAAUAGAGACACGGUCAAGACUGCUACGGGAGGCAGCAGUGGGGAAUAGUGCACAAUGGGCGAAAGCCUGAUGCAGCCAUGCCGCGGGUAUGAAGAAGGCCUUCGGGUUGUAAAGCACUUUCAGCGGGGAGGCGUUACUCGCAGAAGAAGCGCCGGCUAACUCCGUGCCAGCCGCCGCGGUAAUAC